ACGCUGGCGGCAUGCCUAAUACAUGCAAGUCGAGCGAACAGAUGAAGUGCUUGCACUUCUGACGUUAGCGGCAACGGGUGAGUAACACGUAAGGAAUCUACCUAUAAGCGGAGGAUAACAUUCGGAAACGGGUGCUAAUACCGCAUAAUAUCUUCUUCCGCAUGGAGAAGAUUGAAAGACGGCUCUGCUGUCACUUAUAGAUGACCUUGCGGUGCAUUAGUUAGUUGGUGGGGUAAUGGCCUACCAAGACGAUGAUGCAUAGCCGACCUGAGAGGGUGAUCGGCCACAUUGGGACUGAGACACGGCCCAAACUCCUACGGGAGGCAGCAGUAGGGAAUCUUCCGCAAUGGGCGAAAGCCUGACGGAGCAAUGCCGCGUGAGUGAAGAAGGCCUUCGGGUCGUAAAACUCUGUUAUAAGAGAAGAACAAAUUGUAGAGUAACUGCUACAGUCUUGACGGUAUCUUAUCAGAAAGCCACGGCUAACUACGUG
RNAcentral lists this ribosomal RNA (490 nucleotides) under uncultured bacterium. RNAcentral's name for it is "bacterial SSU rRNA". It matches the Rfam family "Bacterial small subunit ribosomal RNA", at positions 33 to 507 of the family's 1533-position model. The record is from RNAcentral.